Molecule: long non-coding RNA, 390 nt
Organism: Haliotis rubra (blacklip abalone)
Lineage: Eukaryota; Metazoa; Mollusca; Gastropoda; Lepetellida; Haliotidae
Exons: 4
Source: RefSeq, a predicted model, not a curated record
CAGGAGCUGUAUGAUGUCUGUGUCUAUGUGUCCGCUGGUUGUCUAGGUACAGGAGCUGUAUGAUGUCUGUGUCUAUGUGUCCGCUGGUUGUCUAGGUGCAGGAGAUGUAUGAUGUCUGUGUCUAUGUGUCCGCUGGUUGUCUAGGUGCAGGAGCUGUAUGAUGUCUGUGUCUAUGUGUCCGCUGGUUGUCAAGGUGCAGGAGCUGUAUGAUGUCUGUGUCUAUGUGUCCGCUGGUUGUCUAGGUGCAGGAGCUGUAUGAUGUCUGUGUCUAUGUGUCCGCUGGUUGUCUAGGUGCAGGAGCUGUAUGAUGUCUGUGUCUAUGUGUCCGCUGGUUGUCUAGGUGCAGGAGCUGUAUGAUGUCUGUGUCUAUGUGUCCGCUGGUUGUCAAGG